Molecule: ribosomal RNA, 172 nt
Filed under: Myroides sp. enrichment culture DGGE band BES-CAP-12
Lineage: Bacteria; Pseudomonadati; Bacteroidota; Flavobacteriia; Flavobacteriales; Flavobacteriaceae
Description: partial 16S ribosomal RNA
Rfam family: Bacterial small subunit ribosomal RNA
Source: RNAcentral
UGAGGAAUAUUGGUCAAUGGGCGCAAGCCUGAACCAGCCAUGCCGCGUGCAGGAUGACGGUCCUAUGGAUUGUAAACUGCUUUUGUACGGGAAGAAAUGUAAUUACGUGUAAUUAUUUGACGGUACCGUAAGAAUAAGGAUCGGCUAACUCCGUGCCAGCCGCCGCGGUAAU